CGUCAGCUCGUGCCGUGAGGUGUCGGCUUAAGUGCCAUAACGAGCGCAACCCUUAUCAUUAGUUACUAACAGGUCAUGCUGAGGACUCUAGUGAGACUGCCGUCGUAAGAUGUGAGGAAGGUGGGGAUGACGUCAAAUCAGCACGGCCCUUACGUCCGGGGCUACACACGUGUUACAAUGGGGGGUACAGAGGGCAGCUACCGGGCGACCGGGUGCCAAUCCCAAAAAACCUCUCUCAGUUCGGAUCGAAGUCUGCAACCCGACUUCGUGAAGCUGGAUUCGCUAGUAAUCGCGCAUCAGCCACGGCGCGGUGAAUACGUUCCCGGGCCUU
This 331-nucleotide ribosomal RNA is filed under the name uncultured Bacteroides sp. Its description in RNAcentral is "bacterial SSU rRNA". It matches the Rfam family "Bacterial small subunit ribosomal RNA", at positions 1053 to 1382 of the family's 1533-position model. Lineage: Bacteria; Pseudomonadati; Bacteroidota; Bacteroidia; Bacteroidales; Bacteroidaceae. The record is from RNAcentral.